Molecule: ribosomal RNA, 1370 nt
Filed under: uncultured bacterium
Lineage: Bacteria
Description: bacterial SSU rRNA
Rfam family: Bacterial small subunit ribosomal RNA
Source: RNAcentral
GACGAACGCUGGCGGCGUGCCUAAUACAUGCAAGUAGAACGCUGAAGGAAGGAGCUUGCUCUUUCCGGAUGAGUUGCGAACGGGUGAGUAACGCGUAGGUAACCUGCCUGGUAGCGGGGGAUAACUAUUGGAAACGAUAGCUAAUACCGCAUAACAGUAGAUAUCGCAUGAUAUUUGCUUGAAAGGUGCAAUUGCACCACUACCAGAUGGACCUGCGUUGUAUUAGCUAGUUGGUGAGGUAACGGCUCACCAAGGCAACGAUACAUAGCCGACCUGAGAGGGUGAUCGGCCACACUGGGACUGAGACACGGCCCAGACUCCUACGGGAGGCAGCAGUAGGGAAUCUUCGGCAAUGGACGGAAGUCUGACCGAGCAACGCCGCGUGAGUGAAGAAGGUUUUCGGAUCGUAAAGCUCUGUUGUAAGAGAAGAACGAGUGUGAGAGUGGAAAGUUCACACUGUGACGGUAUCUUACCAGAAAGGGACGGCUAACUACGUGCCAGCAGCCGCGGUAAUACGUAGGUCCCGAGCGUUGUCCGGAUUUAUUGGGCGUAAAGCGAGCGCAGGCGGUUAGAUAAGUCUGAAGUUAAAGGCUGUGGCUUAACCAUAGUACGCUUUGGAAACUGUUUAACUUGAGUGCAAGAGGGGAGAGUGGAAUUCCAUGUGUAGCGGUGAAAUGCGUAGAUAUAUGGAGGAACACCGGUGGCGAAAGCGGCUCUCUGGCUUGUAACUGACGCUGAGGCUCGAAAGCGUGGGGAGCAAACAGGAUUAGAUACCCUGGUAGUCCACGCCGUAAACGAUGAGUGCUAGGUGUUAGACCCUUUCCGGGGUUUAGUGCCGUAGCUAACGCAUUAAGCACUCCGCCUGGGGAGUACGACCGCAAGGUUGAAACUCAAAGGAAUUGACGGGGGCCCGCACAAGCGGUGGAGCAUGUGGUUUAAUUCGAAAGCACGCGAAGAACCUUUUACAGGUCUGACAUCCCUCUGACCGCUCUAGAGAUAGAGUUUUCCUUCGGGACAGAAGGUGACAGGUGGGCCAUGGUGGUCGUCAGCUCGUGUCGUGAGAUGUUGGGUUAAGUCCCGCAACGAGCGCACCCCCUAUUGUUAGUUGCCAUCAUUCAGUUGGGCACUCUAGCGAGACUGCCGGUAAUAAACCGGAGGAAGGUGGGGAUGACGUCAAACCAUCAUGCCCCUUAUGACCUGGGCUACACACGUGCUACAAUGGUUGGUACAACGAGUCGCAAGCCGGUGACGGCAAGCUAAUCUCUUAAAGCCAAUCUCAGUUCGGAUUGUAGGCUGCAACUCGCCUACAUGAAGUCGGAAUCGCUAGUGAUCGCGGAUCAGCACGCCGCGGUGAAUACGUUCCCGGGCCU